CAGCCGUAAACUAUGCGCGUUAGGUGUACUGGUGACCACGAGUCACCGGGUGCCGAAGGGAAACCGUGAAACGUGCCGCCUGGGAAGUACGGUCGCAAGGCUGAAACUUAAAGGAAUUGGCGGGGGGAGCACCACAACGGGUGGAGCCUGCGGUUUAAUUGGAUUCGACGCCGGACAUCUCACCGGAUAAGACAGCUGAAUGAUUGUCAAUCUGAAGGUUUUACAUGACUAGCUGAGAGGUGGUGCAUGGCGUAGACGUCU
Molecule: ribosomal RNA, 261 nt
Filed under: uncultured archaeon
Lineage: Archaea
Description: partial 16S ribosomal RNA
Rfam family: Archaeal small subunit ribosomal RNA
Source: RNAcentral